Molecule: ribosomal RNA, 629 nt
Filed under: Paenibacillus sp. SC8s11
Lineage: Bacteria; Bacillati; Bacillota; Bacilli; Caryophanales; Paenibacillaceae
Description: bacterial SSU rRNA
Rfam family: Bacterial small subunit ribosomal RNA
Source: RNAcentral
CUGGGAUAACAUUCGGAAACGAAUGCUAAUACCGGAUACGCGAUUUGGUCGCAUGAUCGAAUCGGGAAAGAUGGAGCAAUCUAUCACUUACAGAUGGACCCGCGGCGCAUUAGCUAGUUGGUGAGGUAACGGCUCACCAAGGCGACGAUGCGUAGCCGACCUGAGAGGGUGAUCGGCCGCACUGGGACUGAGACACGGACCAGACUCCUACAGGAGGCAGCAGUAGGGAAUCUUCCACUAUGGACGAAAGUCUGACGGAGCAACGCCGCGUGAGUGAGUAAGGUUUUCGGAUCGUAAAGCUCUGUUGCCAGGGAAGAAUGCUUGGGAGAGUAACUGCUCCCCAGGUGACGGUGCCUGAGAAGAAAGCCCCAGCUAACUACGUGCCUGCAGCCGCGGUAAUACGUAGGGGGCAAGCGUUGUCCUGAAUUAUUGGGCUUAAAGCGCGCGCACGCGGCCUUGUAAGUCUGUUGUUUAAACUUGGGGCUCAGCCCCAACUCCCAAUGGAAACUGCAAAGCUUGAGUACACAAGAGGAAAGUGGAAUUCCACGUGUACCGGUGAAAUGCGUAGAGAUGUGGAGGAACACCAGUGGCGAAGGCGACUUUCUGGGCUGUAACUGACGCUGAGGCGC